Long non-coding RNA from Aethalodelphis obliquidens (Pacific white-sided dolphin), 2750 nucleotides. RefSeq lists it as uncharacterized. The transcript is spliced from 2 exons. NCBI's taxonomy places the organism in Eukaryota, Metazoa, Chordata, Mammalia, Artiodactyla, Delphinidae. The record is from RefSeq and is a predicted model, not a curated record.
CACUCACGCCUGACGUUAGUGGAACACAUAUUUCGUUCGCAACUUGAAGGUUUGUAUGUAGGGGACUUACAGUAAUUUCAUUGUUUUACAUAUAGUUGUCCAGUUUUAGGGCUGUGGUUUUCUUGGUCUGGUGUCUGCCCCCUGCUGGGCAAGGCUGGUCUAGCGGCCUGAGCAGGCUCCCUGGAGGGUAGGGCAGGUGCCUGCCCACUGGUGGGUGGAGCUGCGCCGUCUGGUGGGCAGGGCCGUGUCCCAGGGGGCUGUGAGCUCAGCAGGUCCCAAGGCAGCCUGUCAGCUGACGGGUGGGGCUCUGUCCCCCAGGGGGCUGUUUGGCCCAAGGCUCCCAGCACUGGGCCUACAGGCUGUUGGGUGGUGCUUGGUUUUGGCGCUCACAGGCCAAGAUGUCAGCCCAGCAGCACAGCAGCUGUGUUCACGGGCCGAAUGUCCCCCAGUGUAUCUGCCACCGGCAUCUGUGUCCCCAGGGUGAGCCUCAACCGCCCCCCACCUCUGCAGGAGACCCUCCAAGAACAGCAGGUAGGUCUGGCCCAGGCUCCCAUCAAAUUACUGCUUCUGCCCUGGGUUCUGGUGCGUGUGAGGUUUUGUGCGGCCCUUGAGGAGUGGGGUCUCUGCUCCCUCGUCCUGUGGGGCCCCUGCAGUCAAGGCCCGCUGUCUUCACAGCCAGAUGCUCUGGGGGCUCCCGGUGCCGGACCCCCGGGCUGGGGAGCCUGACGGGGGGCUCAGAGCUCUCACUCCUCGGGGGGAACCUCUGCAGGGUCAUUAUUCUCCAGUGUGUGGGUUGCCCACCUGGGGCUAAGGGACUCCUGCUGUCUCGUCGUCGUUCCUUCUUUAUGUCUUUAGCUAAGGGACUCCUACUGUCUCGUCGUCGUCGUUCCUUCUUUAUGUCUUUAGCGAUAGAAGAUAUUUUCUGGCAGCGUUUGGUCUUUUCCGUGGAUGGUGGUUCUGCAGGUGGUUGUGAUGUUGGUGUGCUCGUGAGAGGAGGUGAGCUGCUCUCCUGAGAUGACUUGUGAUGAAAUUUUCAAUCAUUUUGGAAUAGGUCCCACGGGGUGGCCAGAGCUGGCUGUCCCCUGUGCAGAGGCCCCCUGGGUGGCACGUAGACCUGAAGGACGGUCCCCUCCCAAGGCCUGCACUCCUCCUACAGCCCAAGCCUCAAGGGGUUGACUGUGGGCAGUAUCCUCUCUGGGCUGUUCCUGCCUCCUGGGAGCACCCACAGAGCACAGACUCCUGCUGAGGGCCAUCACGUGGCAGGUGCCCCAUGGUCUUGGGGCUGCCCCCAGAUCCAGGACGGGGUGACACAGCUUGCCUCAUCUUGGUGGGGCAGGAAGAGGGACGAUGGAGCGCCAGGCCGGCCCAGCAGGGGAGAGCACGAGGACCUGGUGGCGUGGCCACGGCUCAAGGCAGCAGGGAAGCUGGGAAAUGAGCCAGGUGCCCACAGCAAAGGGCGGGCACAGAGCUCAGAGAGACAGCAGGCUGUGCCCAGGAACCAGGCAUGCACCCCAGGCUUUCCAGGAGGGGAGACCUGGGCUCAGCAUCCACCUGGAAGAUGCCAACACGGCAGGUAAGAGUGAGCUAGAGGUGAGGCAGGGCCCCAACUGGGGCCGAGCUGGCAGGAGGCGGCUACCGUGGAGGCUGGGUGACAGCUACCUCGAGGGCCGAGGAAUCAGGAGAACACGAGUGUCCAUCUCCACGACUCCAUGGGUAAGAAGGGGCUACACCACGUGCCCAGAAUUGCUCGUGUCCCAUCUUCCAGGAACGAGGUGAGUUCACGUCGAGGUUCAGUGGGCUGAGCCCCACCCCUGCUGGUGCCUCCUCAGGACCCCGUCUCACUCCAGGUUUGGUGGUUGGUAGUACUGCUCCCACUUAGACCGAUAAGGAUGCUGGGGCUCUGAUGUGCUCUAGCCCAGGUCCCCGGCCCACGUGCAAGACAGCCGCUGCCUCCCCGAGGUGCAGGUGGUGACCACCCAGGUGCAGGGUGCUGAUGGGACUCCGAGAACUAAGCCACUGGCCGGGGGGGUGGGGGGCUGGAGUGCCUGAGGGCAGCUUCCUGGCUCCAGGGCCCCCCCCCCUGCAGAAGUCCCUGCCUGAGGCUGUGCUUCAGACUUUUACCAAAGUGAGAAUUUUUAUGCUAGUAGAGUGCUCCAGGAAUGAAGGCUGCCCCUCGCCCUGGCAAGAGCACUCCUAACUUUGUGACGGCACCCUCACUCCUCCUCACUCUGCCGCAUUGAGGCAGACACUGAAAGCUAUGUAGGAGUUUUCCAGGUGGAGGAGCAAACAUAUGCAUGCCUUUUUUUUUUUUUUUGCAGGUGGGAAGAUUAUUAUAGGAUGGGUUAAAAAAACGUAUAUCUUUAGGUAAGAGCCAGGACUAGGGCGAGGCAAGUGAGGCACUCCCCUCAGGCACACAAGGGUGCACCAAAAAUCAUAGUCAUUAAAAAUAAGCAAUAGUUUAAUGUAAUACUUUACUUUCAAAUCAAAAUUAAUGAUGAACUUUCAAAGCAGGAUUCCUGGUUGUCUUUUGCUCCAGUCCCCCGGGACUCGGCACAGCACGGUCGGUCGGCUUGUGGCCGCUGCCCCGCCGGCAGGCCCUCUUCGCCCUUACACUCCACUUUACAUACAAGCCGUUUUUCUUUUCUGUUUUUGCUUACUCUGUUAACGGUUGAUCUGUUUUUCCCAAUGGGAUCUUGUGAUGGAAUAGAAUGCAUAUAAUAUUUCCUAGUAAAAUGUAUGGAAAUUUUUGA